AAUCAACGCUGGCGGCGUGCCUAACACAUGCAAGUCGAGCGCGAAAGGGGGGCAACCCCGAGUAGAGCGGCGAACGGGUGAGUAACGCGUGGGUGAUUUGCCUCCGAGUGGGGAACAACACCGGGAAACUGGUGCUAAUACCGCAUGACAUCCUCGGGUCGUACUGGGGAUCAAAGCUGGGGACCGCAAGGCCUAGCGCUUGGAGAGAAGCCCGCGUCCGAUUAGCUAGUUGGUGGGGAAUGGCCUACCAAGGCGACGAUCGGUAGCCGGCCUGAGAGGGCGGACGGCCACACUGGGACUGAGACACGGCCCAGACUCCUACGGGAGGCAGCAGUGGGGAAUUUUGGACAAUGGGCGCAAGCCUGAUCCAGCCAUGCCGCGUGCGGGAAGAAGGCCU
This 397-nucleotide ribosomal RNA is filed under the name uncultured bacterium. RNAcentral's name for it is "bacterial SSU rRNA". It matches the Rfam family "Bacterial small subunit ribosomal RNA", at positions 29 to 417 of the family's 1533-position model. The record is from RNAcentral.